RNAcentral lists this ribosomal RNA (255 nucleotides) under Klebsiella aerogenes. RNAcentral's name for it is "partial 23S ribosomal RNA". It matches the Rfam family "Bacterial large subunit ribosomal RNA", at positions 1421 to 1675 of the family's 2925-position model. Lineage: Bacteria; Pseudomonadati; Pseudomonadota; Gammaproteobacteria; Enterobacterales; Enterobacteriaceae. RNAcentral also lists the same sequence under 1 other name. The record is from RNAcentral.
GGAAACAGGUUAAUAUUCCUGUACUUGGUGUUACUGCGAAGGGGGGACGGAGAAGGCUAUGUUAGCCGGGCGACGGUUGUCCCGGUUUAAGCAUGUAGGCGGAGGUUCCAGGUAAAUCCGGUACCUUAUUAACGCUGAGGUGUGAUGACGAGGCACUACGGUGCUGAAGUAACAAAUGCCCUGCUUCCAGGAAAAGCCUCUAAGCAUCAGGUAACAUCAAAUCGUACCCCAAACCGACACAGGUGGUCAGGUAGA